CCUACGGGUGGCUGCAGUGGGGAAUUUUGGACAAUGGGCGCAAGCCUGAUCCAGCCAUGCCGCGUGUGGGAAGAAGGCCUUCGGGUUGUAAACCACUUUUGUCAGGGAAGAAACGGUCUGGUCUAAUAAACCGGACUAAUGACGGUACCUGAAGAAUAAGCACCGGCUAACUACGUGCCAGCAGCCGCGGUAAUACGUAGGGUGCAAGCGUUAAUCGGAAUUACUGGGCGUAAAGCGUGCGCAGGCGGCUUUGCAAGACAGAUGUGAAAUCCCCG
This 275-nucleotide ribosomal RNA is filed under the name uncultured Rhizobacter sp. RNAcentral's name for it is "partial 16S ribosomal RNA". It matches the Rfam family "Bacterial small subunit ribosomal RNA", at positions 338 to 605 of the family's 1533-position model. Lineage: Bacteria; Pseudomonadati; Pseudomonadota; Betaproteobacteria; Burkholderiales; Sphaerotilaceae. The record is from RNAcentral.